Molecule: ribosomal RNA, 1278 nt
Filed under: Sarcotragus sp. Po.25673
Lineage: Eukaryota; Metazoa; Porifera; Demospongiae; Dictyoceratida; Irciniidae
Description: eukaryotic LSU rRNA
Rfam family: Eukaryotic large subunit ribosomal RNA
Source: RNAcentral
CGACAUUCGGACGUCGUGCCGCCGGCGUCAGGUAGUGCAAUCGGACCAUCUGGACCUCGGAUCAGGGCCAGGCUACCCGCUGAAUUUAGGCAUAUUAAUAAGCGGAGGAAAAGAAACUAACAAGGAUUCCCUCAGUAACGGCGAGCGAAGCGGGAAUAGCUCAAAUUUGAAAUCUCCGGUGCCUGCACCGGCGAAUUGUAGUCUGUAGGGCCAGUUUCGCCCGAGACAGUGUCCCCAAAGUCGUCCUGGAAAGGCGGGCCGGAGAGGGUGAGAGCCCGUGCGUGGGGGCACGGUCGGAGGUAAGAUCUGUGCCCAAAGAGUCGGGUUGUUUGAGAUUGCAGCCCAAAAUGGGUGGUAAACUCCAUCUAAAGCUAAAUACUGGCACGAGACCGAUAGCGAACAAGUACCGUGAGGGAAAGAUGAAAAGCACUUUGAAAAGAGAGUCAAACAGUACGUGAAACCGUCAGGAGGGAAACGAACGAGGUUGGUGCAGUGAUCGCGCAGGUUCAAGCACUGCCGAAGGUGCUGGCACGGCGGCGGAGAUCGUCCCGAGUCGUCCACCGGAGGCGGUGUCGUACUCCUCGCGAGCACGGACCAGCGGCGGUUGGACCGGAGCCACAAGGCGGCAGCGGAAGGUGAGUCGACGUGGGCCUGUCUCGCUUUGACAGCUUACAGACCUGUCGUACGGUGCUCCGGGUCGACCGAGGAACGAGGGCAGCCCUUGCCCGUGACGGUACACGCCGAAUGGCGGGGGCUCCCGACGCGAGUGACUCGUGCGGCCUGGACUGCGUGCAGUGCUCAUCGUGGCGGCGAUCUCGCGCCGGAGAGUGCCACCUGUGCGCCAGUGCCGCUGGUAUUCGGACGGCCUCGUCCGACCCGUCUUGAAACACGGACCAAGGAGUGCAACAUGUGCGCGAGCCCUUUGGCGAGUAAACCAGAAGGCGCAAUGAAAGUGAAGGCACGGUCGCCGUGCUGAGGUGAGAGCCGUCCCUGGCGGCGCAUCAUCGACCGAUCCUAUCCGCUCCCCCGUGGUGCGGCGGGAUUCGAGUAAGAGUGUACCUGUUGCGACCCGAAAGAUGGUGAACUAUUCCUGAAUAGGGUGAAGCCAGAGGAAACUCUGGUGGAGGCCCGCAGCGAUUCUGACGUGCAAAUCGAUCGUCAAAUUUGGGUAUAGGGGCGAAAGACUAAUCGAACCAUCUAGUAGCUGGUUCCCUCCGAAGUUUCCCUUAGGAUAAUUUUGAUAGCUGUAGCCCGAAGCAGUUUUAUCAGGUAAAGCGA